UACGUAGGGUCCGAGCGUUGUCCGGAAUUAUUGGGCGUAAAGGGCUCGUAGGCGGUUUGUCGCGUCGGGAGUGAAAACACCGGGCUUAACUCGGUGCUUGCUUUCGAUACGGGCAGACUGGAGGUAUGCAGGGGAGAACGGAAUUCCUGGUGUAGCGGUGAAAUGCGCAGAUAUCAGGAGGAACACCGGUGGCGAAGGCGGUUCUCUGGGCAUUCCCUGACGCUGAGGAGCGAAAGUGUGGGGAGCGAACAGG
This 253-nucleotide ribosomal RNA is filed under the name uncultured bacterium. RNAcentral's name for it is "partial 16S ribosomal RNA". It matches the Rfam family "Bacterial small subunit ribosomal RNA", at positions 524 to 776 of the family's 1533-position model. The record is from RNAcentral.